AUAAGGUCCUCAGCAGGUGUCUGGCUACCACCAGCUCCUGCGCCCUGCUUAGUGGGCAGGCAGGCCCUACAAGGAGCAAUACCAGUUGCCUGGAGGAGCCACUGCAGAGGCCAUCACAGCCUCCAGUCACCCUCUGACUCUGAGGCCUGCUGUUCCAAGCUGUCACAAUCACCAAUAACAGAGCUCCACACUGAAGCCACUGGAGUCCCCACUGGGCCACCAGUGAUGCCGCAGCCACCAUCACUGCACUGGGACCAGACUCCUGCCACUGCCAGAGGAUGAGAAUGAAACUCUCUGGAUGCCUGGCUUGAUGUUGCCACCUACAGACUCCUCAGUUGCCUUUGCCACCACUGCCAUAACAGAACUUCAGACACCAAUACCUCCAAGCACAACACAUCUUCAACGAAUAGCUUAGCAAGACCUUCUAGAUAACUUGCAAGAGCUUCUCCAUCAGCACUUGUUUUUUUGCCUUGCACUUUUACUUUAUGGAGAGGGGCUUCUUGGCAAAAACAUAAUGGACCAAACWCUGGCAGUUGCAAUGAAGUUGGCCCCAGUACUGAGUGUCACUGUCUAGUAUCCAUGUUAAAGUCUGGUGGCAGCAGGGUGGAGCUCCAGAGUCUGGCAGGUGCAGGAGCAACAUGCAGUUGCAUCAGGUGUCCAUCCUCAGUAUAGGGGUUGGGCACCAGGUGUGGUGUAAAGUACAAUGACAUUGGGGCCUUGGUGGGCAUUGUUGGAGUCUAUCUGGAAUUUGGAAGUUUGAGUGUUGCACAAUGGUGGUGGCACCAUAAGAGUUCAGAAGCAGGGGCAGCAACAACAGGCAGUGUCCAGCAGUGAGCAUCUUCAUCCUGCAGAAGAUACGGGGGUCAAGCUGCAGGACAGUGAAAGUGGCAUCCAGUGGCCAUGUGGGGAGUCUGGUUGGCUGCAACGAAGAGUUCCAGGCUAGCAUGGCAGCAAGGGCAUGGGAUAGUGGUUGUCAGAGUGAUAAGGUAACCAGUAGCUGGGAUGUCCUCUGUGAUGGAGGCUCCAGGCCCUGGUCUUGUGCCUGGUCGACUGGCCUGCUCAUGAAGAAGAAUGUGGGAGGAGGUGGUACCCAGGCAGCUGCCCAGGACCUUAUGCUUCCCACAGCUGCCAUGUCUCGCUCUGUCCAUGAGCCCACUGUGUGUGUCUGCUCACCCCACAGCCUGAUAUAGCCUCUCUACUGAGGAACUAGGUUGUCUGCUAGGUUGGGGCGGUCUUGGGAGAGAACCUCACCAUCCCCAGACACUUCCUGCGUGGACUGUGGGUGCAGAAAGGAGAGGUCCUAGGACAUCUUCACCCCGAAAGUGCAUUUUUGUGGCUGGGGGUGGCUGAAGACCAAGACAGAGAACUCGUUGCCCUUAGWCUCCCACUGCCACCUGUGCCCUCCACCGUGUGCCACCCCAGGAUGCACUUGGAAGGUGAGUAUUUUCUAGGCCCCCCCACCUCCCACCACUGCACUCUGCUACCCUAGCCCAGGAGAGAUGUAGCUGGGGAGGGUGUGUGCCUUCUCCAAAGGCUGCCCCA
Molecule: long non-coding RNA, 1542 nt
Filed under: Urocitellus parryii (Arctic ground squirrel)
Lineage: Eukaryota; Metazoa; Chordata; Mammalia; Rodentia; Sciuridae
Description: lncRNA (ENSUPAG00010002897.1)
Source: RNAcentral